GGCCAUGUUGGUUAACAGAUCCUCAUCUGCUGGACGUCUGGCGAUGAUCUUUAUCGGUUGUCGUCAGUUGCCAGCACGUUUACUUUGAGAAAAUUAGAGUGCUAAAAGCAGGCUCACGCCUAUAUAUAUUGCAUGGAAUAAUGAAAUAAGAUCUCGAUUUUAUUUCGUUGGUUUUAGAAAUUGAGAUAAUGAUUAAUAGGAUCAGAGGGGGGCGUACGUACUGUGGUGUGAGAGGUGAAAUUCUUGGAUCGCCACAGGACGAACAGCAGCGAAGGCGUUCGCCAAGAAUGUUUUCAUUAAUCAAGAACGAAAGUUUGAGGUUCGAAGACGAUUAGAUACCGUCCUAGUUCAAACCAUAAACGUUGCCAACUGUCUUUUAGAUGCGGUUAUUUAUAUGACUCAUCUGGCGGAUCUCGAGAAAUCUAAGUUUUUAGGUUCCGGGGGAAGUAUGGUUGCAAAGCUGAAACUUAAAAGAAUUGACGGAAGGACACACAAGAAGUGGAGCCUGUGGCCUAAUUUGACUCAACACGGGAAACCUUACUCGGCCAGGACACUUUUAGGAUUGACAGAUUGAGAGCUCUUUCUUGAUUAGGUAGGUGGUGGUGCAUGGUCGUUCGUAGUUCGUGGAGCGAUUUGUCUGAUUAAUUUCGAUAACGAACGAGACUCCGGCUUACUAAAUAGUCUAAAGUUCGAAGGGACUUUUCAAGACUUCUUAGCAGGAUAAGUGG
Molecule: ribosomal RNA, 728 nt
Filed under: uncultured eukaryote
Lineage: Eukaryota
Description: SSU rRNA
Rfam family: Eukaryotic small subunit ribosomal RNA
Source: RNAcentral